This 77-nucleotide transfer RNA is filed under the name Candidatus Gallimonas intestinigallinarum. RNAcentral describes it as "tRNA-Arg". It matches the Rfam family "tRNA". Rfam says of the family: Transfer RNA (tRNA) molecules are approximately 80 nucleotides in length. Their secondary structure includes four short double-helical elements and three loops (D, anti-codon, and T loops). The record is from RNAcentral. Lineage: Bacteria; Bacillati; Bacillota; Clostridia.
GCACUCGUGGCGCAAUUGGAUAGCGUGUCAGCCUCCGACGCUGAAGGUUGUGGGUUCGAUCCCCGCCGGGUGCACCA